GAUUAAGUUAUUAAGGGCGCACGGUGGAUGCCUUGGCACUAGAAGCCGAUGAAGGACGUUACUAACGACGAUAUGCUUUGGGGAGCUGUAAGUAAGCUUUGAUCCAGAGAUUUCCGAAUGGGGAAACCCAGCAUGAGUUAUGUCAUGUUAUCGAUAUGUGAAUACAUAGCAUAUCAGAAGGCACACCCGGAGAACUGAAACAUCUUAGUACCCGGAGGAAGAGAAAGAAAAUUCGAUUCCCUUAGUAGCGGCGAGCGAAACGGGAAGAGCCCAAACCAACAAGCUUGCUUGUUGGGGUUGUAGGACACUCUAUACGGAGUUACAAAGGACGACAUUAGACGAAUCAUCUGGAAAGAUGAAUCAAAGAAGGUAAUAAUCCUGUAGUCGAAAAUGUUGUCUCUCUUGAGUGGAUCCUGAGUACGACGGAGCACGUGAAAUUCCGUCGGAAUCUGGGAGGACCAUCUCCUAAGGCUAAAUACUCUCUAGUGACCGAUAGUGAACCAGUACCGUGAGGGAAAGGUGAAAAGCACCCCGGAAGGGGAGUGAAAUAGAACCUGAAACCGUGUGCUUACAAGUAGUCAGAGCCCGUUAAUGGGUGAUGGCGUGCCUUUUGUAGAAUGA
RNAcentral lists this ribosomal RNA (621 nucleotides) under Staphylococcus aureus. RNAcentral's name for it is "partial 23S ribosomal RNA". It matches the Rfam family "Bacterial large subunit ribosomal RNA", at positions 1 to 618 of the family's 2925-position model. The record is from RNAcentral. Lineage: Bacteria; Bacillati; Bacillota; Bacilli; Caryophanales; Staphylococcaceae.